AGUGCACUUUACUCGAAAACAACAAAAUCAACACUUUGGAUGGCUGUACUCAUGUACUGCAUGCACAAGCACAACAUCUGCAUAUGCACUGCCGGAUUUGACUGGACGCGCUGUGCGCAGCACCUCUUUUUUUUUUCUUUUAUUCGCAGCCAGUUCAUUUCAGUCAAGGCCUUGUUUACUUCCUGAAAAGCUUUGCAAAAAACUAGAAUUUUUUUUGUAUUUGACAAUUAUUAUCUAAUCAUAGAUUAACUAGGUUUAAAUGAUUUGUCUUAUAAAUUAUAUAUAAACUAUAUAAUUAGUUAUUUUUUUAUCUAAAUUUAAUGCUCCAUAUACGUGCUACAAGAUUCGAUAUGUCAAAGAAUCAUGAAUAUUUUAUAAAUUUUUUCGGGAAGUAAAUAAGUCCAAGUCUAAACAAAAAAGCAGCAGCCUUUAAUUGACACCGUGGCUCCUUUUAUGCAUGCAGGGGUGCAAGUACUGCGUGCGUGGCUGCAUGCUGCUCCUCUGCCAUCCUUCUAAUCCACCGUGAAGGGCUGAAGGCCUACCUUUAUAGUAGCUUCAUUGUUAAGCGGUAAUGUUUAUGUCGGCAUUUAUUUAUUUAUUUAUUCGUAGGCGGCGCUAAAAGUUUUU
Molecule: long non-coding RNA, 627 nt
Filed under: Sorghum bicolor (sorghum)
Lineage: Eukaryota; Viridiplantae; Streptophyta; Magnoliopsida; Poales; Poaceae
Description: long non-coding RNA (SBIC_LNC016833)
Source: RNAcentral